GACGAACGCUGGCGGCGUGCUUAACACAUGCAAGUCGAACGGAAAGGCCCCCACCUUGGUGGGGGUGCUCGAGUGGCGAACGGGUGAGUAACACGUGGGUGAUCUGCCCUGUACUUCGGGAUAAGCUUGGGAAACUGGGUCUAAUACCGGAUAGGACCAUGGUUUAGUGUCUCAUGGUGGAAAGAUUAUUGUUUUGGUGCAGGAUGAGCUCGCGGCCUAUCAGCUUGUUGGUGGGGUAAUGGCCUACCAAGGCGUCGACGGGUAGCCGGCCUGAGAGGGUGGACGGCCACAUUGGGACUGAGAUACGGCCCAGACUCCUACGGGAGGCAGCAGUGGGGAAUAUUGCACAAUGGGCGCAAGCCUGAUGCAGCGACGCCGCGUGGGGGAUGACGGCCUUCGGGUUGUAAACUCCUUUCGUUAGGGACGAAGCCGCACCUUUUUUGGGUGUGGUGACGGUACCUUUGUUAAGAAGCACGGCUAA
RNAcentral lists this ribosomal RNA (481 nucleotides) under Corynebacterium sp. oral taxon B00. RNAcentral's name for it is "bacterial SSU rRNA". It matches the Rfam family "Bacterial small subunit ribosomal RNA", at positions 28 to 500 of the family's 1533-position model. The record is from RNAcentral. Lineage: Bacteria; Bacillati; Actinomycetota; Actinomycetes; Mycobacteriales; Corynebacteriaceae.